CUCUUAUCCAGAGCGGCGGAGGGACUAGGCCCGAUGAUGCCCGGCAACCUUCAGGCAAUGAUGCUUGAAAAGGUGCCAAUUCCUACAGGUCUAUGAUCUGACAGAUAAGAG
RNAcentral lists this non-coding RNA (111 nucleotides) under Sediminibacillus halophilus. RNAcentral's name for it is "SAM-I sequence". It matches the Rfam family "SAM riboswitch aptamer (S box leader)". Rfam says of the family: The SAM riboswitch is found upstream of a number of genes which code for proteins involved in methionine or cysteine biosynthesis in Gram-positive bacteria. Lineage: Bacteria; Bacillati; Bacillota; Bacilli; Caryophanales; Bacillaceae. The record is from RNAcentral.